GGCCUCGUAGCUCAAGUGGCUAGAGCGUUGGCUGUACUAGAGCCUUACCCUUGAUGGCGUGGGUUCGAAUCUCACCGAGGUCA
Molecule: transfer RNA, 83 nt
Filed under: Schistocephalus solidus
Lineage: Eukaryota; Metazoa; Platyhelminthes; Cestoda; Diphyllobothriidea; Diphyllobothriidae
Rfam family: tRNA
About the family: Transfer RNA (tRNA) molecules are approximately 80 nucleotides in length. Their secondary structure includes four short double-helical elements and three loops (D, anti-codon, and T loops). Further hydrogen bonds mediate the characteristic L-shaped molecular structure. tRNAs have two regions of fundamental functional importance: the anti-codon, which is responsible for specific mRNA codon recognition, and the 3' end, to which the tRNAs corresponding amino acid is attached (by aminoacyl-tRNA synthetases). tRNAs cope with the degeneracy of the genetic code in two manners: having more than one tRNA (with a specific anti-codon) for a particular amino acid; and 'wobble' base-pairing, i.e. permitting non-standard base-pairing at the 3rd anti-codon position.
Source: Rfam by way of RNAcentral